This 75-nucleotide transfer RNA is filed under the name Grasseichthys gabonensis. Its description in RNAcentral is "tRNA-Leu (UUR)". It matches the Rfam family "tRNA". Rfam says of the family: Transfer RNA (tRNA) molecules are approximately 80 nucleotides in length. Their secondary structure includes four short double-helical elements and three loops (D, anti-codon, and T loops). The record is from RNAcentral. RNAcentral also lists the same sequence under 2 other names. Lineage: Eukaryota; Metazoa; Chordata; Actinopteri; Gonorynchiformes; Kneriidae.
GCUAGUGUGGCAGAGCCCGGCAAUUGCAAAAGGCCUAAGCCCUUUCACCCAGAGGUUCAAAUCCUCUCACUAGCU